RNAcentral lists this ribosomal RNA (449 nucleotides) under uncultured bacterium. RNAcentral describes it as "partial 16S ribosomal RNA". It matches the Rfam family "Bacterial small subunit ribosomal RNA", at positions 29 to 523 of the family's 1533-position model. The record is from RNAcentral.
AACGAACGCUGGCGGCAUGCCUAACACAUGCAAGUCGAACGAGAUCUUCGGGUCUAGUGGCGCACGGGUGCGUAACGCGUGGGAAUCUGCCCUUUGGUUCGGAAUAACAGUUGGACACGACUGCUAAUACCGGAUGAUGACGAAAGUCCAAAGAUUUAUCGCCAGAGGAUGAGUCCGCGUAGGAGUAGCUAGUUGGUGUGGUAAAGGCGCACCAAGGCGACGAUCCUUAGCUGGUCUGAGAGGAUGAUCAGCCACACUGGGACUGAGACACGGCCCAGACUCCUACGGGAGGCAGCAGUGGGGAAUAUUGGACAAUGGGCGAAAGCCUGAUCCAGCAAUGCCGCGUGAGUGAUGAAGGCCUUAGGGUUGUAAAGCUCUUUUACCCGGGAUGAUAAUGACAGUACCGGGAGAAUAAGCUCCGGCUAACUCCGUGCCAGCCGCCGCCGUAA